GGGCAGUUGCCACCGAUCACAGAGAAGGCCUGACUUUGGACUCAGAAGACAGCCCUCGGAUCUCAGCAGCGUGGCCUGGAACACGAGGCUUCCCCCCACGGUCCCUCUGGAUUGUCAAGCAAAAUGCAGGGGCUCCAAGAAACGGACACGCCAACUCUUUCAGAUCUGUUAAGAGAGAACAACAGAAAACAGUCCGCGUGCAGCCUGCGGAGGAAAUUCCGGGGCUGGGUGGGACUGUUUUCCCUGACCCCUGAGAUCAUGGCUGAGUCUGGGGCCAGGCCGGUUUUUGUCUCUGCAAAUUCUCUCUCACUCCCGUGGUCACAGAGGAGGUCGCGGUUUCCAAUGUCGACACCAGAGGCAGCAAGAUGUCCCCGGAGACGGCGAGAGAACUCGUCCAAGAAUGCAGAGGUCCUGCUCCCAGACAGCACCUGUCGUUGCAGCCUGGACCCCUGUCCUUCAGCCCCUCCCGGGGUCCCCUUUUACGAUCUCAACUUCCCUUCGUUUUCUUAAAAACAUCUUUUCCCCCGCGUGCCUAAGGAAGACAUGCUCCUUACAGACCACUGGAGGGACAUUUCCAGAGAAAAACGACAUAAGAACAAAGAAAGUCGUUCAAAAGCUCACCGACGCUGGUGAUGUUGUGGCUUUCAUUCCGAUCGUUUUUCUCUACAGAACGGGUAUCCACUCGCCUUUGUCAAAAGUUGGGAUUGUUCUGAACGCACAGCUUUGGAAUCCGCUGUGUCCUCCCUGCAGUGCUGCUGAGAUAGAUAGUUUUUCCACACCAUUGAACCUCCGAGGCUCUGAUGGAUUCCAUAUUUUAACACAGGAAAGACUGCUUGCAGAAACAUUGGAUGUAAAAUGCAGAGGGUUACCAUCUAUGUCCUCUCCCCGCCAAGUGGCUUGUCCCAUUAUCAGCAUCUUGCAUCAGUGGGAUCAACUUGUUACAAGCGAUGGACGGAUAUUGAAGGUGAAAUGAUGUCUCUCUGGAUGGGCCCUGAGCCAAUGGGCCCGGUGUCCUUCGAGGAAGAAGAUUAAGUGACAGAUACUCCCGGAGGGAAGACCAUGUGAAGACGCCUGGAGAAGAUGCCCAUGUGCAAGCCAGGGAGAAAGACCUCAAGAGAAACUCUUUCCCUUUCUGUCCUGCACUCCAGACUUUUUUUUAAUUGGAUAGUCGUUUCUGAUUUGUUACCUCCACCCCCCAAUGAUGGUUACUAAAACAACGGAAGCCAUAAGAUGCCCCCUUGUUGGGGCGCCUGGGUGGCUCAGCCGAUUAAGUGGCUGACCUCAGCUCAGGUCAUGAUCUCACGGUUUGUGAGUUCGAGCCCCACAUGGGGCUUUCUGCUCUCAGCUCAGAGCCCGCUUUGGAUCCUCUGUCUCCCUCUCUCUCUCUGCCCCUCACUUCCGAUCUCUCUCUCUCUCUCAAAAACAAACAUUAAAAAAAAAAAAAAAGGAGACAAAGCAGGAGAGAAAUGAACUAUGACUAUCUUAACACACCCUAAGCUCUGUGAUUAAGCAAAAUUGGAGUAACUCUGCUAUUUCUACAGUAAUAUUUAAACUUCUUCCUGGUGGCUCUGCAGCUCCCCUUCAAGAGCAGCUUUUCAGUGUUUUCUAGAACCUCUGAACUAUUACUGACAGAUUGCACUAAUUUCCUGUAUGAUUUUCUUUUUUCUUUUUUGCCUUUUUGUUUUUGUUUUUGUUUUUGCCAAAUGUCUGACCUUUGUAAUUCGC
Molecule: long non-coding RNA, 1725 nt
Organism: Acinonyx jubatus (cheetah)
Lineage: Eukaryota; Metazoa; Chordata; Mammalia; Carnivora; Felidae
Exons: 2
Source: RefSeq, a predicted model, not a curated record